RNAcentral lists this ribosomal RNA (465 nucleotides) under uncultured bacterium. Its description in RNAcentral is "bacterial SSU rRNA". It matches the Rfam family "Bacterial small subunit ribosomal RNA", at positions 338 to 795 of the family's 1533-position model. The record is from RNAcentral.
CCUACGGGACGCACCAGAGGGGAAUAUUGCACAAUGGGCGCAAGCCUGAUGCAGCCAUGCCGCGUGUGUGAAGAAGGCCUUCGGGUUGUAAAGCACUUUCAGCGGGGAGGAAGGCGUUAAGGUUAAUAACCUCAUCGAUUGACGUUACCCGCAGAAGAAGCACCGGCUAACUCCGUGCCAGCAGCCGCGGUAAUACGGAGGGUGCAAGCGUUAAUCGGAAUUACUGGGCGUAAAGCGCACGCAGGCGGUCUGCCAAGUCGGAUGUGAAAUCCCCGGGCUCAACCUGGGAACUGCAUUCGAAACUGGCAGGCUAGAGUCUUGUAGAGGGGGGUAGAAUUCCAGGUGUAGCGGUGAAAUGCGUAGAGAUCUGGAGGAAUACCGGUGGCGAAGGCGGCCCCCUGGACAAAGACUGACGCUCAGGUGCGAAAGCGUGGGGAGCAAACAGGAUUAGAUACCCGCGUAGUC